This is a long non-coding RNA of Oncorhynchus tshawytscha (Chinook salmon), 1501 nucleotides long. The record is from Ensembl. Lineage: Eukaryota; Metazoa; Chordata; Actinopteri; Salmoniformes; Salmonidae.
CUUUUUUAAGAAGUAUUUUAUUCAAACAUUUACAUUUUAGUAAUCAGACGCUGUUAUCCAGAGCAAUUUACAGGAGCAAUAGGGGUUAAGUGUCUUGCUCAAGGGCACAGACAGAUUUUUACCUAGUCGGCUAGUGGCCCAACACUCACACUAACCUACCUGCCACCCCAGCAUCUUUCAUACAGAUCAUCAAAAUAUAUAUUACUUCUUAUUAAACCCAUAUACAAAAUUAUAUUCUUUCACUUCAAAUCCUUUGUGGUUUAAAAUAUAUCUUACUGCAAACAUUAUUUAAAGGCCCAGUAUGACACUUUCAUUCAAAUUGUGUAGACUUUAUUGAAAGGUGUAAGAACAUUAUUACAGAACGCAUACAUUUGGUCUCCAAUUUGUCUUUUUUGGCUGGUUGAUUUAUGUACCUCUCAAAUGGAUCACAUUUCCAAUCCUGUUGUCUGGACUUGCAUUAGAUUUGGUCGAUCACUGCUUUGUGUGGAGCAUCCAUAAUGUACAAAGCACAAACAUUUGCAAUAGAAUAAUUUCAGAAAUCAUAACAUCUAAAAACUAAAACAAUGCAGCCACUUUCAUUAAAAGAGAAAUAUGUACAGAUGGAACACGUGGAUAGGACUUGUCUGGUUUAUGGCCAUAAUUAAACAAGUUACAGUGUGAGAAAAGUGCUAACAUGUCGCACAACUACUGUAUGUUAUACCACCAAAACAUACACAUUCGUGCAGCUACGCUACACAUGGAAUCAAAAGAAUUAUGUUUUUCCAGUUUACAGCAAUAUCUUUUAAAUGUGGUGGUUUUGAUGGCUUCAGUUAAGGGAAAACAAAGCUAAUUUAAAUUUUAUUUGUAGAAUAAUCUAAGUUAAAAUCUUAAUUUAACAUCUCACAACAAUCUAAUCCUUUCCAGAAAGACAUUUUCAUGGUGUUCCAUUGAUUAUAAUAUACCUGUAAGAAUUAGAUAAGUCUAUCACACAUUAGACACUCUAUCACAAGUCUAUGGCAAUAUUACAUUUGAUAAUUCAACACAAUUACAGCACACAUUUUUAAAAGCCAAAUCAUAGAUUAAAUGAAAGUAAAACUGUUCAAAUUAAAAUCACCAAAGAAUAUUUUUGACAGCAGAGUUUUUGUUGUUGAUAUUGGAUCUGUGUUAACAGUGUGUGUGUCACAGGAGGCUGCUGAGGAGAGGACAGCUCAUAAUAAUGGCUGGAACGGAGAAGAUCAAAUGGCAUUAAACAAAUGGAAACCAUGUGUUUGAUGUCUUUGGUACCAUCAUUCCACUUAUUCCGCUCCUGCCAUUACCACAAGCCUGCUCUCCCCAAUUAAGGUGCCACCAACCUCCUGUGGUGUGUGUGUGCGUGUGUAAGAGACAGGUGUGAGAGACUGAUGUGUGUGUAAGUGUGUUAUGUUCUUGAGAAGUUCCUCUUCAGCUCCUUCCUAUAACACAGACGAGAGAGAGACAAGUCAGUUAAGAACAAAUUCUUAUUUACAAUGCCAGCCUUCCCCAG